RNAcentral lists this ribosomal RNA (500 nucleotides) under uncultured bacterium. RNAcentral's name for it is "partial 16S ribosomal RNA". It matches the Rfam family "Bacterial small subunit ribosomal RNA", at positions 30 to 523 of the family's 1533-position model. The record is from RNAcentral.
AUUGAACGCUGGCGGCAGGCCUAACACAUGCAAGUCGAGCGGUAGAGAGAAGCUUGCUUCUCUUGAGAGCGGCGGACGGGUGAGUAAUGCCUAGGAAUCUGCCUGGUAGUGGGGGAUAACGUUCGGAAACGGACGCUAAUACCGCAUACGUCCUACGGGAGAAAGCAGGGGACCUUCGGGCCUUGCGCUAUCAGGUGAGCCUAGGUCGGAUUAGCUAGUUGGAGGGGUAAUGGCUCACCAAGGCGACGAUCCGUAACUGGUCUGAGAGGAUGAUCAGUCACACUGGAACUGGGACACGGUCCAGACUCCUACGGGAGGCAGCAGUGGGGAAUAUUGGACAAUGGGCGAAAGCCUGAUCCAGCCAUGCCGCGUGUGUGAAGAAGGUCUUCGGAUUGUAAAGCACUUUAAGUUGGGAGGAAGGGCAGUAAAUUAAUACUUUGCUGUUUUGACGUUACCGACAGAAUAAGCACCGGCUAACUCUGUGCCAGCCGCCGCCGUAA